UACGUAGGGAGCAAGCGUUGUCCGGAAUUAUUGGGCGUAAAGCGCACGUAGGCGGUUUGUUAAGUCGGAUGUGAAAUCCCUCGGCUCAACUGAGGAAGUGCAUCCGAAACUGGCAAGCUUGAGUACGAAAGAGGAUCGCGGAAUUCCCGGUGUAGAGGUGAAAUUCGUAGAUAUCGGGAGGAACACCGGUGGCGAAGGCGGCGAUCUGGGUCGAUACUGACGCUGAGGUGCGAAAACGUGGGGAGCAAACAGG
RNAcentral lists this ribosomal RNA (253 nucleotides) under uncultured bacterium. RNAcentral describes it as "partial 16S ribosomal RNA". It matches the Rfam family "Bacterial small subunit ribosomal RNA", at positions 524 to 776 of the family's 1533-position model. The record is from RNAcentral.